GGGCCCGCACAAGCGGAGGAACAUGUGGUUUAAUUCGAUGAUACGCGAGGAACCUUACCCGGGCUUGAAGUGCAGAGGAAUAUGGUGGAAACAUCAUAGCCAGCAAUGGUCUCUGUGUAGGUGCUGCAUGGUUGUCGUCAGCUCGUGCCGUGAGGUGUCGGCUUAAGUGCCAUAACGAGCGCAACCCUUAUCGUCAGUUGCCAUCAGGUAAUGCUGGGAACUCUGACGAGACUGCCACCGUAAGGUGUGAGGAAGGUGGGGAUGACGUCAAAUCAGCACGGCCCUUACGUCCGGGGCGACACACGUGUUACAAUGGGCGGUACAGAGGGCAGCUACCCCGCGAGGGGAUGCCAAUCUCAUAAAGCCGUUCUCAGUUCGGAUCGGAGUCUGCAACUCGACUCCGUGAAGCUGGAUUCGCUAGUAAUCGCGCAUCAGCCAUGGCGCGGUGAAUACGUUCCCGGGCCUU
RNAcentral lists this ribosomal RNA (466 nucleotides) under uncultured bacterium. RNAcentral's name for it is "bacterial SSU rRNA". It matches the Rfam family "Bacterial small subunit ribosomal RNA", at positions 917 to 1382 of the family's 1533-position model. The record is from RNAcentral.